This 95-nucleotide microRNA precursor is filed under the name Corchorus capsularis. RNAcentral describes it as "pre miRNA mir-395". Lineage: Eukaryota; Viridiplantae; Streptophyta; Magnoliopsida; Malvales; Malvaceae. The record is from RNAcentral.
AUGUGAUCUUUAAUUUGUUUCAAUCAAAUCACUCGAAUUUUUUUCCCCUAAAAAAAAACUCGAGUGAUUUGGUUGGAACAAAUUAAAGAUUAGUG